UCUCGCAGUUGAUUACUUCCAAGUC
This 25-nucleotide non-coding RNA is filed under the name Rattus norvegicus (Norway rat). The record is from RNAcentral. Lineage: Eukaryota; Metazoa; Chordata; Mammalia; Rodentia; Muridae.